Molecule: long non-coding RNA, 1179 nt
Filed under: Anas platyrhynchos platyrhynchos (common mallard)
Lineage: Eukaryota; Metazoa; Chordata; Aves; Anseriformes; Anatidae
Description: lncRNA (ENSAPLG00000030554.1)
Source: RNAcentral
AUGAUGAUUUUCCUCUUCCAGCACUGGGUCUUGCUGGCUGUAGACUUGUUCCUUGCGAUGACCCUUUCCUGCCUCCUUUAUGCCUUUGUGUUUGUUUCCGUCGUCUUUUUGGCCUGCUGCAUUAUCUUCUUGUCCUUCGGCAUUGUGGAGAAGAACAUUGACGUAAAAGGGAGAGCAAUUGUCAUUCUCGUGUCCAACAGCUCCAUUGGGAGGACAUUUGCCAGGAACCUGGAUAAAGCAGGUUUUAGGGUGUCUGCUGCACACUGGCCUCCUCGAGAGGAGGGGAUGACCACGAAAGAAGAGUGCUCUUCGAGCAUGGAGGUAGCACAGCUCCACAUGACUGACGAUGAGUACCAGAAGACAGUGAAAACCUUCAUAGAAAGCCACUUGUCCCUGAAAGGCCCUGCGCAGGACAGCUGUGCUGGAAGGCAGAGCACUCACCAGGAGCCGCCCCUGCUGCAGGCACCCCCAGAGACACGGCAUGUACGGGCUGAUGAAGAAGCCGUCAAUCUUGAUAUGGGAAGAAGAGGAGCCAGACACAUGCAGGUCACCCGGGAGAAAAACCUCUUACACAUGGAAAAGGGUUUUCAAGAGCCCAGCAAAGAGAGUGAUGACAAAAAGCUGGAAAAGCAGGCAGACAAGCCCUCCUUCAUGAAACAGGAAAGCAAGAGGGCAUCUUCUCCUUUUCCAGGUGAUAUGCGCCCUCUGUGUCGCUGUCCUCUUCUGCCCACUGAACUGUGCCCUGACUUCCCUGAAGAAGAGAGCUCUGCAGCUCCUUGUGCCCCUGAAGCCCAAAAACUGAGAGGUGGUCGCAAACAGUUUGGUUAUUUGUGGAAGUAUUUUUCCAGGAACCGAAGCUAAGCUGACAGGUCUGUAACUGCCAACCUGCCAUUUAGCACCACUUCUGUACCAACGAGCUCGAGCCCGCACCUCGUAGCACCGGGCUCUGCUCCAACAGACCACUUUAGCACGCACUUAAUUGCAAGAGAGAGAGACGUCUGUGGCUGCAGGGGGGAGGAGUCGCACGGCUAACGUUACACGUGUGCUUGGAUAUUCCUCCAGCUCCUAACCAUAGGCACACCAAGGAAGCCCCCCCAAACCAAGCCGAACAAAGACAAUACACGUCUUCAUACAGUGCUUAUGACUUUAUGAGUGCAAAUACCAAUAAAUAUCAAACAU